RNAcentral lists this ribosomal RNA (385 nucleotides) under uncultured bacterium. Its description in RNAcentral is "bacterial SSU rRNA". It matches the Rfam family "Bacterial small subunit ribosomal RNA", at positions 29 to 417 of the family's 1533-position model. The record is from RNAcentral.
CUUGAACGCUGGCGGAAUGCUUUACACAUGCAAGUCGAGCGGCAGCGCGGGGCAACCUGGCGGCGAGCGGCGAACGGGUGAGUAAUGCAUCGGAACAUGUCCAUUCGUGGGGGAUAGCCCGGCGAAAGCCGGAUUAAUACCGCAUACGCCCUGAGGGGGAAAGUGGGGGACCGCAAGGCCUCACGCGAUUGGGUUGGCCGAUGUCCGAUUAGCUAGUUGGCGGGGUAAAGGCCCACCAAGGCGAUGAUCGGUAGCUGGUCUGAGAGGAUGAUCAGCCACACUGGGACUGAGGCACGGCCCAGACUCCUACGGGAGGCAGCAGUGGGGAAUUUUGGACAAUGGGGGAAACCCUGAUCCAGCCAUUCCGCGUGAGUGAAGAAGGCCU